Molecule: non-coding RNA, 2573 nt
Organism: Cyanistes caeruleus (blue tit)
Lineage: Eukaryota; Metazoa; Chordata; Aves; Passeriformes; Paridae
Source: RefSeq, a predicted model, not a curated record
AAGUCUUCCAGGAUAUCAAAGCUUUUUCACUGCCAUGAUAAAAUGUAAUAUCCAGCUUUAACUCACUCUAGAUCAUUACAAUCCAACAAAUAACACAGGAAAAAUCCAGAGAGACAAAUAUUUGGAGAGCAAUAAUGCCUUAUUACAGAAGUAGAGAGAUUUUCACUGCCUGUUCCUUUGUCCUUUAUAAAAAUAUAUCUCCUGAUCCUGAUGUUAUACAUUGAUAUUGAGAGUCAUCUGAACACUGAGGUCCUGGCUAUAAUGUUUAAAUUCAGGCACAAGUAUUAUGGGGAAGUGAAGACCUCCUACACAGGUUUUUAGUUUUUUGUUUUGUUUAAAAUAUUUAUAUGAAAAAUUAUCCAAACAUGUCUCUUUUCAAGAUUUCUUACUAGGGCAGAGUGUAUAGAAAUGAUGCAAGGUAUUAACAAACAGAAGUCUCUGCCUAAUUCUUUCUCCCAGAGCCGUCUCUAACACAUUUAAAAAGGAACCCUCAAAUGUAAAGCCAUAGUAGGAACAAUUGGCUGAAGGCUGUCCCUGCAAAAACUAUCCAGAAGUCAAGUAUAUAGUAGGUCAGAUUUUUAUCUGUUGUGUAUGCAGUAAAAUGUGUUCAUUAAUGGAAAUUAAUUAUGCCUGGUUUUUUACCCAGUAGUCACAUCCAAUGUGAGUCUCAAGAGCAGAUGUUUCUUCCUCUAUCUCACUAGAGAAAAAGAAGUCCCUUUCCUGUUCCUGGAUAGAUUAUGUAAAAAUUUUCAAUGGAAAAAAAAGGUAAAUAGAUGAGAAAAUUUAAACAAAUAUGUGAUAAAGACAAGGUUCUUAAUUUUAUUUUUGGUGAUAGCACCACUGUCUGCAAACUAUCCCAUAGCUGCUGAGUGAGCAGCUGGAUCAGCAUUCUCAAACUAGGAGAGAGAUUUACCUAAACUUUUCUGAACAAACUUGCAUAUAAUUAAGCAUAUUUUUUUUUUUUUAUUUUGUCAAAAUUAAUGCUUGGUGGAAACAAAAUAUUCCAGUUCCUACAGAUCUGGAGUUAAGCAUCCUGGGGUCAAGUGCAGCAGAGUGCCUUCACAAAGAUGAAAGUCAGAGUUGGAUAGGAGGUCCAGUCUUCCCAAUUCUCUUUCCCCAGACAAUUCCAGCCAAGGUCAUGUUCACAGUGACCAUUUAUUAAGUGAGCAGAGUGACUAAAACUGGUUCUGGUGCGGGGUUUACCUCCAUGGCAAGUUGCCCCUUCUCUGGCUUUCAAUUCCUUCCCCUGAAAUUAAUGCUGUAGUAAAAGUGAGCUGUCUCUCCUCAUCCUUAAUAGGAGGGCAUGAGUCCCAGGUGGUUUCAGGAGCUUUUGAGUUUCUUUUACCUAUCUCCCUGAAAACAGCACUUGAUAUUGUAUUUUUUAAAAAAUUAUUUACUUGUGCCUCAGGAGAGCCCACCUUAUUUGCAAUUCCUUUCUGGUCCACUCAGGCAUGCUGGCAAAUGGGGAGUCCGAAUGCACGGAGCAAAGAGGCAAGACAAGAGCCAAGCAAUUCCAGAAUACAGUUAAAUGAUAUCCAUCUCUGCCUUGUGAUGAACACUCAGUGAAAGUCAUCAAGACCUCCACUGAAUCAAAUUAACUCUUCAGAAACUCUGAUGCUGCAGAGAAGGGACCCAACCUCAGAUCCUCAGGACCCCCUGCUCUCCUGUUGAAGCUUUUUAGCUGGAAGUCAAGAUCAGUGAGGCACAGGCAGGAAAUUCUCUUCCUCUCCAGCACAGCAGUGCAAAGAAUGAGGACUCUAAGGACAAGUCAGAGCAAUGAUCUUAAGAAUGGUUUAGAUGGUUCCAAAAGAUGAGAAGCAAAGACACAGUGGCACCUCAGAGGGGUGGCUGCCAGGCCCAGCACAGCUGUGUCCCAGCUGAUCAAUAUUCCCAGAGCUCUGUCUGUGCUGCUUUCUGCCCCUGCAGUUACCGCGAGCGUGUGCCGAGGCGCUGAUUCAGAGCCAAGGAGGAGCGUGGCUCGUCACCUGAGCAGCGGUGUGGGCUGUGGAAAGCCUUCUGUGGGAGAUGAUUCAUCUUGACACCCAUGUUAGCAUGAUGGUAUGUUUUUCCCAGAGAUGUCCCAAGCACUUUAUCGUGUGCCAAUCCCAUUCCUUGGGAAGACUUCAAAUAAACUGAGUCAGACAAAAGUCAGUCUGGUUUCUAGGGAAAUAUGACAAGGUCAGGGCAGUGAUAUCUUGUCACUGAGAAGUGGAUAGGGCAUGACUGGAGCAAGUUUGUGUUUGUAUUCCUGUGUCUGAGCACCCAGAUGGAAUGGAGUCUUGUCUUUGUUCCUUAUGGGUCAGAAUGAGCCAUCCCAGAGCAACCUGCCCCUCUCCUGACUGGAUCUUUGGCACCUGCUAAAUUCUUUUUCUUUUACCUUGGGGUCCUGUGCCUGUAAAGUGCCAUCAGGCAUUAUCAGACUGGGGAGUGAGAAGGGGCAGUCCAGGGGUGAGAUGGACAGGACAAGAGUGAGGUCCUUAUACCCUGCAUUAAAUAAACAGAAUUACUGUGCUUUCCUUUUGUCUAUGUGUUGUGGUUUACUACAGCACCUGCUCCAAAAUUAUGUGGCUACU